AAAACGACUCUCGGCAAUGGAUAUCUAGGCUCUCGCAUCGAUGAAGAACGUAGCGAAAUGCAAUACUUGGUGUGAAUUGCAGAAUCCCGCGAAUCAUCGAGUUUUUGAACGCAAGUUGCGUCUGAAGCCAUUCGGCCAAGGGCACGUUUGCCUGGGUGUCACGC
This 164-nucleotide ribosomal RNA is filed under the name Quercus petraea subsp. petraea. Its description in RNAcentral is "5.8S ribosomal RNA". It matches the Rfam family "5.8S ribosomal RNA". Rfam says of the family: 5.8S ribosomal RNA (5.8S rRNA) is a component of the large subunit of the eukaryotic ribosome. It is transcribed by RNA polymerase I as part of the 45S precursor that also contains 18S and 28S rRNA. Functionally, it is thought that 5.8S rRNA may be involved in ribosome translocation. Lineage: Eukaryota; Viridiplantae; Streptophyta; Magnoliopsida; Fagales; Fagaceae. The record is from RNAcentral.